Molecule: RNA transcript, 2684 nt
Organism: Ornithorhynchus anatinus (platypus)
Lineage: Eukaryota; Metazoa; Chordata; Mammalia; Monotremata; Ornithorhynchidae
Exons: 4
Source: RefSeq, a predicted model, not a curated record
CAAUUCCAGCUCCGCCACUCGCCUCCUGUGUGACCUUAGGCAAGUCACCUGUCCUCUCUCCCUCGGUUUCCUCAACCGCGGAAUGGCGAUUCGAUACCCUUUCUUCCCCCGAUGUAGACUGUGAGCCCCGUGUGGGACAGGGACCGUGUCCGGCUUGAGCAGCUUGUAUCUACCCCAGUGCUUAGAAGAGUGCUUGACACAUAGUAACUGCUUAACAACUACCAUAAAAAGGCCCCGGGGUCUGGCUGCGGGGUGUUCGGGGGUGGGGGCGGCGCGGAAUUGUGCUGCAGAGCCACUGAUCUACAACCUGCUCAAACCUCUCCAGCCUCACCUAGUUCGAGAAGCGGUGUCUUGAGGCUGCUGCCCGUGCCCCUGUUGAUACGUUGUGUUGUGUUCUCCCCAGAGAUGACCCGUAUAGCGGGGCCAGCCAUCUGAGCUCAGGGAUCCUGGUGGAAUAGCAUCUUGAGGUCGCUUGUUUUCUGCAUUGGGUAGUGACAGCGAGUGGGCCGAAGCCUCAGAGAACCAACCCAGAGCCCUUAAAGAAAGGAGCAGUAGGUAAAGCCUCAGGAGUGUGGGUAUUUCAACCGCGGACAAAACUGGCCCAACCCGGGAAGGAACAGGCAAGAUAGUCAAGAACAAAGAUUUAAUCCAUCUCUCACGGCACCAAAACAUGUAUAUUCCAAAGAUGGUGCUUUAAGGCAUAUCCUCUCCGGUGAUAACGGUUAAAAAAAUCCAAGUAAGGGGACUUGAAAAGUGACCUUGUUUUAUGGGAGAGAAGCCGACUGAACCUCACCGAGUCCCUAAGGGGACAAAAAUGACACAGGCUAGAAGAAUCGCCCUCUGGUUAUUAAGUACUUUCUGCUAGCCUCAGGUCGCCAUGAGAACUAGCCUCUCUGGACUUCCAACUUCGGCGCACAGCCCGGUGAACAGCUGUUACGACUGUCUUCCUCCCAAGGCACACAGUCGCCUAUCUGUAUCCUUCCUUCGUCUGGUACUGUCUUAACGGGGACGAGCCGGCCGGCGUAACACGCCUUGGGGAAUACCGCUUAGUGCCCAUUCUAGGUGGUUGUGAUUGCUCUUGUUCCAGUGGCCGGGUGGGAUGCCCAGGUAGCGGCCUGAAAGGCAGAACUGAGUGGUUUAACCCAACGAUGGUGAAUUGAACAGGGUCCGAGGGAAAGCGUUCGGAGGGCCCUUAGAGUACAUUACCCGUCACGGCUCUCGUAAACCGACGUAAGGUUUUUUGACUGCCAGAGGCGCCUGAGGCCUCUGAGGCUUCUCAAAGUAGCUUGUCCCACACUCCCUGGCCUGGUAUUACCGCCGGGCCGCGGUUUUGAAUCCAUUACUGGUCACGGGUUUCCCGGGAUCGGGAGCCCCUGGCGAGUGGUGAGCUGUCGAGAAACUGAAACAACCGCUGGGUAAACAGGACAGGGCGAUCCAAGCCUCCCCUUCCACCUAAUAGCAAACUUUUCGUGCUUCUCGUAGAAGCGGCUGGCUCUACCAAUCAACACCAGAACACCGUUCCGGUCUUGUUGUGUAGAGGAAAAUUGCAAUGUAAGGGGAGAGCUGCUCCAUCAGUGCUGAGUUACUGCCAAGUAGUUACCUUUUUCUGAAUGGCUCCCAUCUUGGACCAUCACGCAGAGGCUCACAUGUGGUACACUUGGAAAGCAAUAGGAAGGCCGGGGGCACUUGCCCAGGGAACGUGGGGUGGAGCAGUUCUAAAACUCCGUGUCACUUGUCUCAUUUUCCCUGCCCACUCUACUGCGCCUGCUGCUCGUUCUUUUCCUGACUCGCCCUGCAGGGAAAGCAGCAGUAGCCAGAACCAGAGGGGAGGACCAAGUGAAAGGAGGAAGAGGCACAAGUGCAUUUCUCUAGUUUCUUGGUGCGAUUGAUUUCCUGUGCGGAGCUAACAGUCGUUGCUAAAUUAACCAUAAAACCAGAACUUGACUUCCCUAGUGACGGUCACUCCAUUCCCUGGGGGAGCCGGGUUUCCUGAGUUCUACUCUACAUCAGCCAACGGCUCCUGGGAUGGUUCAGGGAGCGUUACUUCCACGGGUCAAGGUAACAAACAUUUCAACUCUUUGAAAGUAUGAAUCUUUUACUGUUGACGAGACUUGUUCGGGUCACUCUUAAAAUAUGCCACCUAGUCAAGAGAGAGCCCACACCUGACCUAGGAGCCGGGAGGGAGCCGAUUGUUACAGAACUGGAUCCUGGCUUGUUUAGACCUAGGGCAUUUAGACUGGAAUAUUUGUGGUAACACGGUCUCCUGGCCUCAAAUUAUAGACUUUUCUACUUUUUUUUUCCCCCUUGGAAUAGUUUUUCUGGAUGGGGUUAAAACAGGAGAUGAUUGGUACACUCCUCCAACCCUGCCCUUUCAUGAUUACCUAACCUCUCUUCAUUUCUUUAGCCUGCCCAGUGUAGGGUAGAAAAAACUUCAUCGAUGCGGUAAUAGGCUCUUUGCCUCAUAUGGACACCAAACUAGAAGAGGUCACAGGAAGGCCUACAUGCAGAUAAAGUUCAUUCCCGAACCAGCCCUGAGCUGAUGGCUGAGCCCUCUAGGAAAGAACUUUAUACAAAGAAAAUAUAUUGUCAAACAUCCCCAGAGAAGUGGGGCUUUUCCUUGGAGAGAAAUUUGCCCAGUCAGGAAAAACAAACAAACGAAUAAACAAACAAGCCACAAGAGAGAA